GUGCUUGCUUCAGCAGCACAUAUACUAAAAUUGGAUUAUAGAGAUUAGCACAGCCCCUGUGCAAGGAUGACUAGCAAACUAGUGAAGCAUUCCAUAUUUUA
This 101-nucleotide small nuclear RNA is filed under the name Castor canadensis (American beaver). Lineage: Eukaryota; Metazoa; Chordata; Mammalia; Rodentia; Castoridae. The record is from RNAcentral.